This 2705-nucleotide long non-coding RNA is filed under the name Trifolium pratense (red clover). Its description in RNAcentral is "long non-coding RNA (TPRA_LNC010133)". Lineage: Eukaryota; Viridiplantae; Streptophyta; Magnoliopsida; Fabales; Fabaceae. The record is from RNAcentral.
AAUAAAUAAAUAAAUAAAUAAAUAAACGCAUCAUCAUCAACUAAAAAAAACGCAUCAUUCAUAGAUAUCAGAAAAACACAAACCCUUAUUCUCAAACUCUUUUUCACGCAAAAUCCUCUCUCACUGCAAACUCAAUCUUCACUAUAAACCCUUCUCUCACUGCAAAUCCUUCUUCACUGCAAAUCUCUUCGUCAAACACUUCUCACGAACCCAGAAAUCUCUUCGUCGAGUCCUUCACAUAAAACCCAGAAUUCGUACUGUUCUCACCAACCCUUCAUUGCAAAUUUGAUACCCUAAAUUUCUGGAAGGUGCUACUCAUUCAUAUGUAUGUAAUUUGUAAACCCUAACUUUUUUUUGUUUUGUUGUGAUAUUUCAAUUUCAAUUUCUGUUUCUGUUGCUAUUUCUGUUUUAUUAUCAUUUUCCUGCAAUGCUAUCUGGUAUCUGCUACUUCACAUAGCAGAUUUUUUGACCCCAACGGUCAACACUAUCCAUCUGCAAAUCAUUCUGCUAUUGAUAUCACUGUUAUCAUCACAGUUUGCCUAUAAUUCAACUGUGAUGUUUGGUAAUUGGCUCUUGUAGUUAGUUAGUUCACAAGAAAGGGAUUGGGGCCUUUAGUUUACCCUCCUCACACUUCACCAAAAUAAGAAGUCUGUUAUCACAUUGUGAAUUAUAAGUUUCUAAGUUUCCAUUAAUUACUAUCAUUAGGAAGAUGUACUACUAAAUUUUUUGCCUUGGUUGUAUUGGCCAUAUUUAGAAUGAAUGUCUUUUUAAAAUUACAUAAUGUCUUUAUUUCUGCCACUUGCAAUAUAUCAUGCUCCUCAACUUGUUGGAAUUACAACCUCGAAUCUCAAAGUCAGUGAUAAGUUGAAAAUUCAUUACCUUGGUAAAUUAUCACCUUCAAAUUCUCUAUAUGCAUAUUUAUUUUGUAGCAUAGUUUAUUCCUAACAAAUUUGGAUUAUUUGCAAUAGUCAUACUUCUUAGGUUAGGUGGCUUUAUAUUCUCAAGAGGUACACUUUCAAUAGAUGUAAUGAUGUUUUUAUUUUUCAAGUUAUGUAACCUUAUUAUAUAGUUUUUUUCCCUUUUGAUUUCUUCUUGAAUUGAAACUGAUAAUAUUAAGAAAUGAUGGAUGUGUGCAUAGAAGGCAAUGAUAGAUGUCAACUGUUGUGACAUAUGCAUUGCUGCCAUUAUCUUAGUUCCAAUAUCAAUUAUUAGAAGUUAUUUAUUUUGUUUAUCAUGUCACAUGACAGGUAUUUCCUGUUGCUCAAAAGGAAUUUUGUGGAUUCAAUCCUUUUACAAGUAUGAACUCUCUCUCAUCUCUGGUCUUGAACUUGUUUGAGCGAGCUUGAAUACCCACUUUUCCUUUAUUCCUCGUAUCUCUUCCUUUAUUUUGGGUGCAAAAUAUACUAAACUGACGUGUUCAUGUUGUGCAGCAUUUGUGUGCUAUAGAAUUAUUUUAUANNNNNNNNNNNNNNNNNNNNNNNNNNUCUACACAAACUUAUAAGCUAUGUGGUUUGGUACAUCUCUCACUCUUCAUUCUCAAACAUAGGAAAUUCACACAAAGGUUCAAGUUAUUGACAUCUAUCUAGUCUCUUUUUAAUCCACACAAAGGUAAGCUCAAAUAUGCCUAUUUUGUCAAAUAACUUAUAAAAAUUAGUUUUGAUAAUAAUGUCUGUCUUGUAUUUGAUAACAUACCUUAAUUAAGAUAGUAAUGUGUUUACAAAUUAGUCUCAUCUGAUAUUUAGAUUUGGUUGGGUUGUUUAGUGUCAUGUUAUUUUGCAUUUGAAUUAUAUCUCUCAAUGCUACUACAUAUAUAGACCCUUAGUAAGUUGAUUAAUAUGUUUGAAUUAUAUCUUUCGUGAUUUUAGGCUUUACAAAAUGCUGCUUAUAAAGCUGAUUGGUAUGUUCUCAAUAUAGUGUGCAAUAUGUCACAAUCUACGGAAGUUGUUCAUGAGGUAAUUUUCCCCAAAUCCUAAGUAUUGUUGUCUCUUUUUAUGUAAACCUUUAUGUCACAAUCUAUUUAAAUUAGUUCACCUUUAAUGAACUUUUUCCUAACAGUGUUGGAAGAACUUCACAUGUCUAUAUAACUGGUUUAUAUAGAAUUGAAAGAGUUUGCAACUCUGCAUCAAUAUACUUUGUUGGAACUGAAGUUUUACAUUGACAAAAGUAUUUACUGACUAGACGUUCACAUUUGAUCAUAUUCAAUUUUAGAGCCAAAAGCAACAAAUAGUUAUGAGUGCAGCUAUUAUGUCAUGAUACACAUGUUGAACAUUGUAUCUACUGGUGUUGUUGGUUCAUGGACCUAAGUAAGUAAUAUAAUUUAUGUAUCAAGCUGUAUCAAUUGAUUAGUACUAUUGUUUAUCUAAUUGGUGUAAGAGAAAACAAGCUAUAGUACAUGACGAAAUUUGGAGACAGAUCUAAGUUUAAGUUUUUUUAUUCUUUUUGUCCAGGUACGGUUACAAUUUUAAUGAUAUGCAGUUGCCCCAGCACAUUAAGAAGGGAUAUGAAGUUUUUUCAAGACUUAGAAUAAUUCAUUAUUGUGUUGGUUCUCUCUGUGUUAGAAUUGUAAUUAGUUUGUAGUUAGUUACUUAUUUCUUCAUGAGUGAUAUUACCCCUUAAAUUAGUUUGUAAAUCUGUUCUUAUGUAAUUUAAAUUGGGGAAAUAAAUUACUCUCAUUUGGAUAUUUGGUUGGCAAAUGCAAAUCUACC